CCUACGGGUGGCAGCAGUGGGGAAUAUUGCACAAUGGGGGAAUCCCUGAUGCAGCAACGCCGCGUGAGUGAAGAAGUCUUUCGGUAUGUAAAGCUCUAUCAGCAGGGAAGAAGAUGACGGUACCUGAAUACGAAGCGCCGGCUAACUACGUGCCAGCAGCCGAGGUAAUACGUAGGGGGCAAGCGUUAUCCGGAUUUACUGGGUGUAAAGGGAGAGCAUACGGCAGUGCAAGUCUGGAGUGAAAGCCCGGGGCCCAACCCCGGAACUGCUCUGGAAACUGGGCGGCUAGAGUACUGGAGGGGCAGGCGGAAUGCCUAGUGUAGCGGUGAAAUGCGUAGAUAUUAGGAGGAACACCAGGGGCGAAGGCGGCCUGCUGGACAGUAACUGACGUUGAGGCUCGAAAGCGUGGGGAGCAAACAGGAUUAGAUACCCGGGUAGUC
Molecule: ribosomal RNA, 440 nt
Filed under: uncultured bacterium
Lineage: Bacteria
Description: partial 16S ribosomal RNA
Rfam family: Bacterial small subunit ribosomal RNA
Source: RNAcentral